This is a non-coding RNA of Rattus norvegicus (Norway rat), 2968 nucleotides long. NCBI's taxonomy places the organism in Eukaryota, Metazoa, Chordata, Mammalia, Rodentia, Muridae. The record is from RefSeq and is a predicted model, not a curated record.
UGUAAUGGGAUCUGACGCCCUCUUCUGGUGUGUCUGAAGACAGCCACAGUAUGUUCAUAUACAUAAAGUAAAUAAAUCUUUAAUAUAUAUAAUACAUAUUAUAUAUAUAUUAAAAUUUACCAACAAAACUUACAAAGAUUAGAUCUGGCCAGGGAGAAACUCUUAUCAGCAGAAACACGAAUGUCUUCACAGAGCAAACGGCCCAGGUGAUUUACUCUCACAGACUGUCUCGGUUACUGAUCUCUCCAGGAUAGGAAUGGAAAUCAACUUCAAAGGGGCUAGCCCAAGUUGUCAAUCGCACAGAGACUUGACAGGCAAUACAUAAAAUGAACAGACAACACAGAUUCUAGACAGGUAACACAGUGACUGGACAGACAACUCUGACACGCUAAAUAAUGAAGAAACUGGACAAUAAAUGCGAUAACUAGCUUUUUCUUUCUUUUCUAACUAUUUUUCCCCUCAGGCCCCAAACAGGAAUUCUUUGUUCCAGUUCAUCAGGAAGCAAUUACAUAAGAAGAUGACUGUCCUGAUCCCUUACACUGGGGUGGAUGGUUUGGGUCGUUUGCUGUGUUGUGGCUGUUAUCACCUAAAAUGGUAGAUUAUUUUUCUUAAUUACUGUAUAUUGGUAGAAACUUAAGGUUGUUUUGCCUAAUUAUGUAGUGACAGAAAUUUAAGGCUGUUUUUGUUAGAAUAUUGUUUGCCUAUAUUGUACGUAAGCUAUUUGUUUAAGGUGUGAUAUAAAGUUCUAGCUUUAUGAUUCUUACCACUGUUUCUAUUGUGUAUGAGUUGAUAUUGUUAGAUAAAAGGACAGUUUUUUAAACAGAAAACGGGAUAUGAAGUGGAAAUUCCUGGUUUCUUUGGAGACUUGGUUGAGUCGUGUGAAGUUUUUCUGGAAACUUCAUAUGAGAGGAUGUUCAGCUGAGAACAGACACGUGUGUUUUUCUGGAAGCAGCAGCCUGGUAAAAGGGCAUGUGAUGUUUUCCUGGAGUGGACACUUUGAGAGAACACGUGAUGUUUAGAAAGUGUAUAAAUAUAACCCAGGAGACGGCGGGCAACACUGUGUGGUAUCGGUGGGUGACGCUGUGUGGUAUCGGUGGGUGACACUGUGUGGUAUCGGUGGGUGACGCUGUGUGGUAUCGGUGGGUGACGCUGUGUGGUAUCGGUGGGUGGUGCUGUGUGGUAUCGGUGUGGUAUCGGUGUGCCUUACCAUUUUUUGCUGGCCAUCACUGGGCUUUGCUGGCCUUAGUCUCUGCUGACUCUACUCUAUGGCACUGGCUCACCUUGACGUUUGUUGCUGGUCAUGGUUUGUUGUGACCUCAUAGAGAGACGCAUUCUAAGGAAUUUCUGGUAGUGUUCUGGUGGCUUCUGGGGCGACCUGCCAUUGCUGAUUUGUGAAGAGAGUUUGUGAGUGGAUCGAGCUGGCUCUGCUGAUUUGUGUGAACUGAACGGCUGGUUCCUGACAAUGCUGGUUGGGAUUGCUCCAAAGAACUAUUUCUAAACAGGGCAACUUAGCUGGGUUCCAGAGAGAAAGAUACAGCGGCAGAGCGUGGGUUUGUGAGAAGUACAUCCCAGCUAGCCAUGUGAAUUUGGAUGCAUGGGACUGGCGUGGCGGCAACCCACCAGGGGAACUUAGUGAGUGAGUCAGGUGGAGAGAUUUCGGAGCGCCAGGUCAGAGAGUCUCCACAAGAUGAGGGAAGUCUGGUGCCUUGCUAACGGUGGUAGCAUGGUGGUUUUUUUUUUUACUAUUUCACACAACAGAUGACGUCCAACGUGGCAGGCAAGAAUCCGCUAGAAAUGUAAGAUUCUUAGCCUUUAGUUAGAAAUCUAGUUAGAGGGGUUGGGGAUUUAGCCCAGUGGUAGAGCGCUUGCCUAGGAAGUGCAAGGCCCUGGGUUCGGUCCCCAGCUCCGAAAAAAAGAACCAAAAAAAAAAAAAAAGAAAUCUAGUUAGAAAGUUUGGCUAGAGGGGUAGAGUUGAGUCACUUGUUGACUCAAGGCGGGAACCUUGAAACAGAGGGGGGGGGGCCUGAGGUCCCCCGCUGUGAAAAGAGACAAGAUGGCUGCUCUGAGUCAGAGAGCUCGGGAAUGGAAGCUGCCUACUCAUUGGAGCAGGUACUGAUUGAACGAUGAAUUCAUAAAAUUGGUAUUAUUUGCUUUUAGGAUAGAUUUAUAUACAGAUUUUGUCCAAAUCACGUGGGGAAUUUCACCUGUGGUUCGGAACUAAGAUAGAGAAAAUUAGUCACUGACGCCAAGUAGAGAGCAGUGAUAAUUUGCCUGCUAAUGAGAAGGUCUCAAUAAAGAGAAGUCUGUGGCUCCAGGCAGAGAGCACAACAGGUAGACGGUAUGUUGAAGUCUACAGGAAACUUUUACUCUUUGUGCGCUCUCUGGGAAUGUUGGAUUAAUUUCCUGACAUGACAGAAUAGAAAAAAACCCAAGAAUAGGCUCACACAGCGUUUAGUUUAGUUUAGUUCGGGAUUACUUUAAUUUUCAAAAUGGGUGUGAUUUUGAGUUUUGUGGUUAUAUUAUUCCUCUGGGAGAGAGGUCAAGCUAAAGGUUUUUCUGGUUACUGGCUCAAGGACAUGCCAUUUUGGGAGAAAGGCUUUGUCUUGGUGUUUUACCAAGUGAUUAGUGUCUACACACUUUACAGAGUUACAUGGAUCAAAUAUGACGAAGGGAGACCCCCUGAAGACUAGAUUCCAGAGACUCAAACAAAACAGAUAUCUUGAUGAUACUUAAUUUUGUUUUGAGAUUUGUAUAUUACAGAAUGCACAGCUUUGGUGAGAUCCAUCGUCAGAUGUGCUGAACUGACCUGCUUGAACUCCUGAUCUCAGGGACUUUCAGCCAGAUCCAGUCAGGACAGACAUCAGAGACAUCAUUGGUGUGGCCUUUUUAAGGCCUAACAACUCCCCAUUUUCCCUCCCUUCCGCACCCCCACCCUUGUCAAAGAUAUCUCAAUGCCCAUAUACUACUG